Halomicrobium mukohataei DSM 12286 is the source of this 67-nucleotide regulatory RNA element. It matches the Rfam family "S15-Halobacteria ribosomal protein leader". The record is from Rfam. Lineage: Archaea; Methanobacteriati; Methanobacteriota; Halobacteria; Halobacteriales; Haloarculaceae.
UCGGGAACAGCACGACCGCAAAUCUGACCCGCCACGCGGUUGCGUGGCUUCGAGAUUGCGGCCGUGU